RNAcentral lists this ribosomal RNA (466 nucleotides) under uncultured bacterium. RNAcentral describes it as "partial 16S ribosomal RNA". It matches the Rfam family "Bacterial small subunit ribosomal RNA", at positions 28 to 507 of the family's 1533-position model. The record is from RNAcentral.
GACGAACGCUGGCGGCGUGCUUAACACAUGCAAGUCGAACGGAAAGACCGCUUUCGUGGGGUACUAGUGUUGCACGCGGGCGUAUAACGUGGGCAUACCCCGCCCAUCUCUUUGAGAUAACUAAGAAAAAGGGGCUAUAACUGCUGAUGACCGCUGCUGCCACCGGCUGGGGGUUGGAAGGUUUAUGCGGUUGGGGUUGGCCUCGCGGCUAAUCAGCUUGUUGUUGGGUUAUUGGCUAACCAGGGCUCCGCCGGGUAGCCGGCCUGGGAGGGUGACGGGCCACACUGGGACUGAGAGACGGCCCAGACUCCUACGGGAGGCAGCAGUGGGGAAUAUUGCGCAAUGGGGGGAAGCCUGAGGCAGCGACGCCGCGUGCGGGAUGACGGCCUUCGGGUUGUAAACCGCUUUCGGCAAAGACGAAGCUGUAGUGACGGUACCUGCAGAAAAAGCACCGGCCAACUACGUG